UCAGUAACAAGGAUUCAUCCUGCUGUGACUAUGUGGUGUGGCAGGGAAUCUCUGUUACUGGGG
This 63-nucleotide microRNA precursor is filed under the name Lepisosteus oculatus (spotted gar). RNAcentral's name for it is "Loc-Mir-459_pre stem-loop". It matches the Rfam family "mir-459 microRNA precursor family", at positions 11 to 73 of the family's 81-position model. The record is from RNAcentral. Lineage: Eukaryota; Metazoa; Chordata; Actinopteri; Semionotiformes; Lepisosteidae.